This 421-nucleotide ribosomal RNA is filed under the name uncultured bacterium. Its description in RNAcentral is "bacterial SSU rRNA". It matches the Rfam family "Bacterial small subunit ribosomal RNA", at positions 354 to 774 of the family's 1533-position model. The record is from RNAcentral.
GUAAGGAAUAUUGCUCAAUGGGAGAAAUCCUGAAGCAGCAACGCCGCGUGGAGGAUGAAGGGUCUAUGACUUGUAAACUCCUGUAAAGAAGGAAAAAAUUCCCAUUAGAUGGGAGAUGAUGGUACUUCUGGAGUAAGCCCCGGCUAACUACGUGCCAGCAGCCGCGGUAAUACGUAGGGGGCAAGCGUUGUCCGGAUUUACUGGGUGUAAAGGGUGCUCAGGCGGAUUUGUAAGUCAGAGGUGAAAUCUUACAGCUUAACUGUGAAACUGCCUUUGAUACUGCAAGCCUAGAGUAUGGAAGAGAGUGAUGGAAUAUCUGGUGUAGCAGUGAAAUGCGUAGAUAUCAGAUAGAACACCAAUGGCGAAGGCAGUCACUUGGUCCAUUACUGACUCUAAAGCACGAAAGCGUGGGUAGCAAACA